AAAAGAAAAUAACAAUGAUUCCCCUAGUAACUGCGAGUGUAGAGGGACAAGCUCAAAUUUUAAAUCUGUCGGGUUCUACCUGACCGAGUUGUAAUUUGAAGAGGCGUUUUCUGUGUUUCUGAUCAGUCCAAGUCCUUCGGGAUAAGGCAUCACGGAGGGUGAGAAUCCCGUUCGGUUGAUCAGAUCCGCUUUACGAUACGCUUUCAAAGAGUCAAGUUGUUUGGGAUUGCAGCUUAAAAUGGGAGGUAAAUUUCUCCUAAGGCUAAAUAACGGCGAGGGACCGAUAGCGAACAAGUACCGUGAGGGAAAGAUGAAAAGAACUUUGAAAAGAGAGUUAAAUAGUACGUGAAAUUGUUGAAAGGGAAACGAUUGAAGCCAGUCGUACCUGCGGGUAAUCAGCCUUUUGGGCAUGAUUCUGUGGAGCGUGAGGAGUUAAACGCCUUCAUGCCUGCAUAUUCGUGUACUUUGGGUGUGCUUGCCUGUGUGGUUAGUUAACAUCAAUUUUGGUUAUCAUAAAAUGGCCGGAGGAAUGUAGCUUCGAUUUCGAUUGAAGUGUUAUAGCCUUCGGCAGAUGUGAUGAUCGGGAUUGAGGAUUGCAACGGAUACCCUUCGGGGCUACCUGUCUGGUCUCUGAUCGUUGCUCUGGUGCCGAAAGCGUGCUUACGGUUAUCAAAGUCGAUGGUCAAUAGGUUAGAACGGGUUAAAUUCGUUAAGGAUGUUGACGUAAUGGCUUUAAACGACC
RNAcentral lists this ribosomal RNA (742 nucleotides) under Rhizophagus intraradices. RNAcentral describes it as "eukaryotic LSU rRNA". It matches the Rfam family "Eukaryotic large subunit ribosomal RNA", at positions 57 to 649 of the family's 3401-position model. The record is from RNAcentral. Lineage: Eukaryota; Fungi; Glomeromycota; Glomeromycetes; Glomerales; Glomeraceae.